This 440-nucleotide ribosomal RNA is filed under the name uncultured bacterium. Its description in RNAcentral is "partial 16S ribosomal RNA". It matches the Rfam family "Bacterial small subunit ribosomal RNA", at positions 338 to 795 of the family's 1533-position model. The record is from RNAcentral.
CCUACGGGCGGCAGCAGUAGGGAAUAUUGGUCAAUGGGGGAAACCCUGAAGCAGCAACGCAGCGUGGAGGAUGAAGGUUCUAGGAGUUUAAAACCCCUUUGAGAGAGGAAUAAAUGACGGUAACUGACGAAUAAGCUCCGUCUAACUACGUUCCAGCAGCCGCGGUAAUACGGAGGAAGCCAGGGUUAUACGGAAUCACUGGGCGUUAAGGGGGCGUAGGCGGGUUUGUAAGUCAGAUGUGAAAUCGUGUGGCUUAACUUCAGAACUGCAGUUGAAACCGUGAGUCUAGAGUAUAGGAGAGGUAGGUGGAAUUCGUGGUGUAGGGGUGAAAUCCGUAGAUAUCAAGAGGAAUACUGAUUGCGAAGGCGGCCUACUGGAACGUUACUGACGCUGAUGCACGAAAGCGUGGGGAGCAAACAGGAUUAGAUACCCCUGUAGUC